Molecule: ribosomal RNA, 1212 nt
Filed under: Myxococcus sp. AM001
Lineage: Bacteria; Pseudomonadati; Myxococcota; Myxococcia; Myxococcales; Myxococcaceae
Description: partial 23S ribosomal RNA
Rfam family: Bacterial large subunit ribosomal RNA
Source: RNAcentral
UAAGUACCCCGAGGAAAAGAAAUCAACCGAGAUUCCCCCAGUAGCGGCGAGCGAACGGGGACUAGCCCUUAAGUUGAUUUGAGAAUAGUGGAAGGCUCUGGAAAGUGCCGCCGUAGUGGGUGAUAGCCCCGUACACGAAAUUCUCUUAUCAAUGAAAUCGAGUAGGACGGAGCACGAGAAACUUUGUCUGAAUAUGGGGGGACCAUCCUCCAAGGCUAAAUACUCCUGACUGACCGAUAGUGAACCAGUACCGUGAGGGAAAGGCGAAAAGAACCCCGGCGAGGGGAGUGAAAAAGAACCUGAAACCGUGUACGUACAAGCAGUGGGAGCCUCUUUAUGGGGUGACUGCGUACCUUUUGUAUAAUGGGUCAGCGACUUAUAUUCUGUAGCAAGGUUAACCGUAUAGGGGAGCCGCAGGGAAACCGAGUCUUAACUGGGCGUUAAGUUGCAGGGUAUAGACCCGAAACCCGGUGAUCUAGCCAUGGGCAGGUUGAAGGUUGGGUAACACUAACUGGAGGACCGAACCGACUAAUGUUGAAAAAUUAGCGGAUGACUUGUGGCUGGGGGUGAAAGGCCAAUCAAACCGGGAGAUAGCUGGUUCUCCCCGAAAGCUAUUUAGGUAGCGCCUCGUGAAUUCAUCUUCGGGGGUAGAGCACUGUUUCGGCUAGGGGGUCAUCCCGACUUACCAACCCGAUGCAAACUACGAAUACCGAAGAAUGUUAUCACGGGAGACACACGGCGGGUGCUAACGUCCGUCGUGAAGAGGGUAACAACCCAGACCCACAGCUAAGGUCCCAAAUUUUGUGCUAAGUGGAAAACCAUGUGGAAAGGCACAGACAGCCAGGAUGUUGGCUUAGAAGCAGCCAUCAUUUAAAGAAAGCGUAAUAGCUCACUGGUCGAGUCGGCCUGCGCGGAAGAUGUAACGGGGCUAAACCAUGCACCGAAGCUGCGGCAGCGACACUAUGUGUUGUUGGGUAGGGGAGCGUUCUGUAAGCCUGCGAAGGUGACCUGUGAGGGUUGCUGGAGGUAUCAGAAGUGCGAAUGCUGACAUAAGUAACGAUAAAGCGGGUGAAAAGCCCGCUCGCCGGAAGACCAAGGGUUCCUGUCCAACGUUAAUCGGGGCAGGGUGAGUCGACCCCUAAGGCGAGGCCGAAAGGCGUAGUCGAUGGGAAACAGGUUAAUAUUCCUGUACUUGGUGUUACUGCGAAGGGG